Molecule: long non-coding RNA, 448 nt
Filed under: Elaeis guineensis (African oil palm)
Lineage: Eukaryota; Viridiplantae; Streptophyta; Magnoliopsida; Arecales; Arecaceae
Description: long non-coding RNA (EGUI_LNC017162)
Source: RNAcentral
AGUGAGUUCUCAUGAUCUACCAGUGAUGUCUAGUAAUAUGUAGUGGCAACCCAAUAAAAUCAAAAAGUAAAUAUUUAGGUAUAAUUAUCGUGUAAUAUAAUCCCUUUAUCGAGAGUUCCAACUUGAUGGAGGUCAUGAAAAACUCGUCAAACCCCAUCGUCAGUCAUAUGCUAGAUUGGCUCAACUCAAGUUCAUUUGUGAAUCUCAUGAAAACUCUUUUCUAAUAUUCACACUUACUCUGGUCAGAGAUUUUCUAAACUCAGUCUUACGAAUCGUAUAGGAUUUUUCCUUUUCUAUCAAGAUCAAUAGAUUCCAUCUAAAUGUAUCAUACUCCAAACAGCGAACCUGAACCUACAUAGCCAACAUACACAGCAAGGAUCCAUAUGACUAGGGACUAAGAGAACAUGUAGUCAAACUAUAUAGCCUCACUGCGAAUAGCCAACACACC